RNAcentral lists this long non-coding RNA (231 nucleotides) under Elaeis guineensis (African oil palm). RNAcentral describes it as "long non-coding RNA (EGUI_LNC011624)". Lineage: Eukaryota; Viridiplantae; Streptophyta; Magnoliopsida; Arecales; Arecaceae. The record is from RNAcentral.
UGUAGUAUUUACAAAUUUAAUGCACUUGCAUCCUUCCAAUCAAAUUAUCAACUCUAAUGAAAAUAUUCCAUUUACUCGGUAUAUUAACCUAAGUAAACGUCACGCUUGAACCGAAACAUCGUCUACCAAAAAUGACCCAGAAAUGCUUUGUUCAACAAAAUGAAAGGAACGGGGAGCUCAAACAUCAAGCUAUCACAAGGUCAAAAUUAGACUUCAAUCUUAUUAAUUCUG